CCGUAGGUAGCAAGCAAGUCAGUAAGUUGGUUUCCCUCCCUCUAGGUAUAAGACCAAGUUUACACACCUCCAUUCAGACCAAAAUCCUUUAUAUCAUGCACCAAACUGGAGCAAGGGUGCGAGGCUAGGCAAUCCUUGGCUAACAAUUUGGUUACAUUUUUUAUGAAAGAAGGAAGAGAUAAUUAGAUCAAAAAUCAUAAAUCAACAAAUUUGAAGUCUUACAUUUUCUUGAUUAAAAUCAAAAUUGACAUCUACAACCCAGGAAUUAAAUUUCUGCCCUUUGCAAAGCAAAAUGCUUCUCACUACACUUAUUUAAUUAUAGCACUUAUGUACAUUUCCAGCAUCCUGAUCCCCUAAAGCCUUCAGCAUUGCUAUAAUAAAACCUUACAAAAAGGAAGAAUACCACUAAAAGAGCCAAAAACCUUGCAAAAUAGUAUAUAACAUAAUAAAAAGGCCAAAGUAAAAGAAACAAUAUCAAAUCACAUAAACUAGCAAUGAAUCUUCCUUGACAAGAUCUCCAGAAGAAAUUUCAAAUCCUACUUGUUCUGUGUGGGAUUUGGAACACUUGCUGGUGCUUUCCUCAAGCUUGGCUCCACAGCUUUCUUGGUCUGUUUCUUGUUUCCGCUUAGUUUACUAAUACUUGUGGAAACAGAAUCAAAAGAUGAGUAUAGCAACUUCUUUGACAGAAUUGUCUUUCCUGAAAAUCCUAGUUCAUGGUGGAGACAGAAAGUAGAGAACAAAAGAAAGUGAACAAGAACCAAGGCCAACACAGCAGCCAAAAUUCUGAAGCUGAUGAUCUUCAUGAGAAAUUGAGAAUGGUUUCAGCAAGAAGCAGUGUAAGAUGCAAGAGUACUAAUAAUUUUGAAGAGUUGGAUCAGGGUUAUAUAUGAAAAGGCAUGAGCAUGCUUUAUGCACGUGGUUCACCAGUACUUGCAUUAUAGUAUUAUAUAUCAUAUUGCAGGGGGAAAAGACAUAUAGUUGCUUAGACAACAAGCACGUUCGUAUAGAAAAC
Molecule: long non-coding RNA, 1012 nt
Filed under: Glycine max (soybean)
Lineage: Eukaryota; Viridiplantae; Streptophyta; Magnoliopsida; Fabales; Fabaceae
Description: long non-coding RNA (GMAX_LNC000399)
Source: RNAcentral